AGUCGAGAUAAAGCGACGAAGAAAAAGAGAUCCGCAGGCUUUGUGAUUCGCAGCGAGCGUGAAAAUACAUUUUGCUUUGCCAAUUUUUAUUUUCUCUUUCAUUCUUUUUCUCUUGUACUUGAGGCCAAAAACACUUGACCAACAGCAGGAUCACGUGACCUCGGAAAAAAACGGCUCUUUUCGUUUUCCUUUCAUAUUUUCGAGUUUUUGUUUUUUCUUCGCGUUAAACGGACCUCGCGCAGUACACCUCGGACGGAACAAAAUCGAGCUCGUGAGACCGCCGAUCCCAAGGGGGACCAAGUGCGACCGUUUGCUUCGUUUUUUCGCAACGAGAAGGGAACGCUCUACGCCAAAGUCCCGUUCGGAGAGGCCUCGCUCGAGAAAACUCCGCAGAACGAUCCAAAAGAAUUUGCCAAUUCUGAACGGUGCGAUGUUCAUUGAAAGAUCUGCACUUCGGUUCUCUUGAUUGUUUGUACUGAAUAUUAAAACUGGUUUAUUAUCACUAAAGGAUGAAUAUCAAAACGGAAAUUGCUGGGAUUCAAUGAGUCGGUUGAAUGGAAAUAAUUUAACAAAUUCUUAUCGAGUUUACAACGGGUUCCUGAACUCUGGGUUCAAAUCUCUCGACUACGAUGUGUCAUCGAUCAAACGACGUAAACUGGAUCUUUGCAAACGGAUAUUCUCGCCUCUUGCAGAAUCCUCAAUCUGGGACCAAGGGGAACGCCCAUCUUUUGGAGUCUCUCUUCACUCAAUAAAUCCUUCAAGCGACAACCAACUGAACUGUUGUUCAAUCAACGGAGUCUAACGAAGUAAAUACCUCGUAGCCAAGUUCCCUCAGAAAAAGUCGUAUGAGCGGUGGUUCAGUGCCAAAGAACUUGGUCAACUUUUUAACUCUCGAGGGAUUCGAAAGUGCGGGAAGCUCCGAAUCUUUGAUCAACGGUUGAGAUUGCGAUCUCACCAUUGCCAUGCUCGUUUGGGUUCUCAGAGCUGCUAUUUCCCCUCGGAUAUUCUCCAUUUCCUGUGGAAUUAAUUACAGUCAUGAUUCCCAGGAGUUUUCAUCAUUACCGAGGAAACGAAGCACGAAGCCAGACGCGAGGUGUCAUUUAGGAAACGAAUAAAAAAUCGAAUAACCUGAAUCAUCAGAUGCUGAGUCCGCAUUUCCGAGGAGAGAUGAGCCACUGAUCUAGCGAGUGUUACCACAGUGUGUCCAGCGAGUCUGUUGGGACUGAAAUUCCUUCGAGUUUUUCAAUCAGAUGCAAAUUCACCUUAACAUCCUUCGCCUUCUUCAUUCGAUCGUCGAUCACGUGUGACCUUCG
Venturia canescens is the source of this 1313-nucleotide long non-coding RNA. RefSeq lists it as uncharacterized. NCBI's taxonomy places the organism in Eukaryota, Metazoa, Arthropoda, Insecta, Hymenoptera, Ichneumonidae. The record is from RefSeq and is a predicted model, not a curated record. The transcript is spliced from 5 exons.